GCCAGACUCCUACGGGAGGCAGCAGUGGGGAAUAUUGCACAAUGGGCGCAAGCCUGGUGCAGCAACGCCGCGUGAGCGAAGAAGGUCUUCGGAUCGUAAAGCUCUGUCCUUGAGGAAGAAGGAAGUGACGGUACUCAAGGAGGAAGCCCCGGCUAACUACGUGCCAGCAGCCGCGGUAAUACGUAGGGGGCAAGCGUUGUUCGGAAUGACUGGGCGUAAAGGGUGUGUAGGCGGUGUAGCAAGUUAGAAGUGAAAUACCUAGAGCUUAACUCAGGUGCUGCUUCUAAAACUGCUAUACUUGAGUGCAGUAGAGGAAAGUGGAAUUCCUAGUGUAGCGGUGGAAUGCGUAGAUAUUAGGAGGAACAUCAGUGGCGAAGGCGACUUUCUGGACUGUAACUGACGCUGAGGCACGAAAGUGUGGGGAGCAAACAGGAUUAGAUACCCGAGUAC
RNAcentral lists this ribosomal RNA (450 nucleotides) under uncultured bacterium. RNAcentral's name for it is "partial 16S ribosomal RNA". It matches the Rfam family "Bacterial small subunit ribosomal RNA", at positions 330 to 793 of the family's 1533-position model. The record is from RNAcentral.